This is a long non-coding RNA of Dermochelys coriacea (leatherback sea turtle), 2861 nucleotides long. RefSeq lists it as uncharacterized. NCBI's taxonomy places the organism in Eukaryota, Metazoa, Chordata, Testudines, Dermochelyidae. The transcript has 3 exons. The record is from RefSeq and is a predicted model, not a curated record.
GGGAGAUUGAGACUUGCUCAUCAUCAGGCAUCCACACUCCAAGUCCUCAGUUCUAGCCAAUAGACCUAGUGCCUACAUUCCCCAGGGUGCCUUUAAAAGAUAAACAACGGGGCAAACUCAUUACAUGUUAGAGCAUUUUUGAAACAGCCCAUACAGGUAGUGGAUUAUGUUCUCAAAGAUUUUCUAAAAAAGCAAUCUAAAUGAAUUUACUCUUGUUCUUUAAUAUAUCUUCCUGCAAAAUGAUUUUCUACCGACUUAGGGUAUCUCACCAUGCUGGUGAGGCAAGUUACACAAGUCUUUUUAUGGAACCUGAAAAGUAAUUAACUAUUGCUCUGCUCUGAAACUGAGAUUAAACAACUCUCCAACAGUAGAGUAGACAGUGGUGCAGGAAAUCAAUUCCCUGCCUGACUAAUUAGCAACAAGUCCACAGGCAGGGGCAGAUUUCGAGGCAGGGGCAGAUUUCGAGUGAGAAAAUGGGAAUUAACUGUCUCUCUCUUACAUUAAUAUGCAAUGAACAGUGUCUGCUAGACAAAUUAGCCGUACUACCACAGUUCAUAGGCUGUAGAUGUCUUUUUUUUUUUUUUUUUUUUAAUACUUGACCAGGAUCCUCGGAAAGGAUUUGGAGUAGAAAAUAUUCAGUUUUAUUAACUUCUAAAAGUUUGGGCAGAAUUUUGCAGAGUUCCGCACCGAGAGGGAGACUCUUCCCUGUGUGAAAUCUUCUGUGGGUGACAUUCAGAUAAUCUUUUAAGAAUUAGUCCCUCCCCCUCCAACCUGGCAGUUCUUUAAUCAGUGACCCCGUCUAGCGAUCUCUUCAAUAAGAUUAAUGACAGUACAGUGCUAGUCAACAGCAUAGUUGACACAGAGGAUUGUGUGCAUACACAACAUAUAUUUCCUGAUGAUGGGGGGUCCUCUAUGUCCAAUGGAUUUACCAAGGGACUUCUGAAAAUUCCCUAAAACUUUCUUCUUAAGCCCCUCACAUGAAGGCCCAUGGACUUAUAGCUGAACAAUGUUUGUCUCUGACAUGGAUGCUGACAGCUUCUGUAUAGAACUUGGGCCCAAUGGUAAAGCCCUCCCACCCAGGAGUGAAGUCCCUUUGAAGAUCACACUCUGGACAACAUUUCCACCCAAAAAGCUCUCCUUUUUUUAUUUUUUUAUUUUUUUUGGAAAGCAGAUCUUAAGAGGAUACGGCCUUUCAUUUGCAUUUGACAGACUCUGCUGCCAUGUUCAAGUUUAGACAGCUGGAUCUGAAGUAGAUGCUGUUUUCCUACUGUCUCUCUUGAUUGGGACACUAAUUUGUCAGCUUUAGGAUUUAAACACUCCCCUCACAUGUUUAGGUGGUUUCUAUGCAUACCCACAUCUUCUGUUCUAUGUAUUUCUAGGAAAUAUAGUAAACUGAUUCAAAAGCAAUGAAGGUCUUCAGAUGAAUUUUUUCUUUUUAAAGUAGUUUCUUCAGCCUGGAUAUGGUUAAAGUCCAUAACUACACACAACCCAGGGUAUCUAUAUUACACUGUGUGAUCUGCUGGGUUGAUCGUGAGCUUGGGUUAGAGAUUUGGCUCUUAUGCUUAGGCGGUGUGUGUCCUUGAGCAAAUCACUCUACCCCUCUGGGUCUGAGUUUCUCCUCCUGUAAAUUGGGGUUAAUACCUUGGAGGGAGGUGUUGGGAGGAUUAAGGUCUGGGAAGUACUCUGAACAUGAAAAGUGCAAUAUAGGUACUGUCUUUAUUAAGUGGUGCCUGAGGCAGCCCUACACUUUGUCUCCACAACCUUCCUUGCUGUGCUGCAAAGUUUCAUUUUCCUUGUUUACUAUGGUUAAUGCUCUCUGGAAACUCAUUCCCCUUGCUGCACCACCUGAUGCUUAUAUGCUUAAAACAGCACCCAAAGAGCAUUGAAAUAUCAGUUGUUCCCACAACUUGGGAGUCUUUGCUUUGAACCAGUUACUUACUCAAGAGCCUCUGCAUCUGAUUGAAUUUCAGGAUGGAGCAAAGGGGAAAUCUGGUCUUCAGAGCAAUAUACAAUCAGAGGGCAUCAGGUUAGCCAGAACCUUGCGUCAUGUAAAAUAAGAGGCACUGCAAUCAAAGCUCUCUCUCCUGGGAGAACAGCACCAUUACAGGCUCACCAUCAUCUGCAUCAACAACCUCCAGGACAAUAGCAUCAGCAUCCAUGACUAUUCCAAGAAUUUUGUGGACAACCAGGCAGUUAAAGUUAUAAAGUAGCUUUGAUGUCUGUGCCCGAUUUCUCAGGUUUAUUAGGGAAGCACACCAGACACCAAAUCCAUCUUGAUUACAUUAAGGGAUAUCUUUCUCCUCAGAAAGUUCUUGGCUCUUAUCCAGUUCAGCACUAGAGCCACUAACCCUGCCUAGCAGCUAACUGAAGUUGAUAUGGAGAAGCACUGAACUGUUUUCAAAUGGUCUGUUUAUCAUGGGUAUUUUAAAUAGAAAUGUAAAACUGAUCAUAGGAUACUCAUUCCAUGUAGUUGUAUUAAAGGUAUAUAAGUGGGAUAUUAUCAGUUUUUCUGAAUAAUGGCUUUGUUAAACAAGCUUACGAAAAGAACACUUGUACAGUAUAUGGAAAGCUAUUUGCACUGGGUACAGCAUUAUUACAAAUAUUUCACUUGUUUUAAAAGUAGUAAGCACUUACACUACAUUUCUUGGGCCAGAUUUUUCUGCGGGCGUAAUUCCAUUGAAAUCAACAGCUGCAAAGUGUUUGGCUAUGUAUGUUCAAGUUUGGCUAUAUAUAUUAUGGAGAUUAACUCUCACCACCCCUUUGGGAGUUAUGUUGAGCAUUAUCUCUAUUAUAUAGCUGAAAUAACCACACAAAUAGGUUUGAUAUUAUUUGGUCAAACGUGGCAGAGGAUUCAGGAAAUC